GAAUUCGCCCUUGGGGAAUUUUCCGCAAUGGGCGAAAGCCUGACGGAGCAAUACCGCGUGAGGGAGGAAGGCUCUUGGGUUGUAACCCUCUUUUCUCAGGGAAGAACAGAAUGACGGUACCUGAGGAAUAAGCAUCGGCUAACUCCGUGCCAGCAGCCGCGGUAAUACGGAGGAUGCAAGCGUUAUCCGGAAUGAUUGGGCGUAAAGGGUCCGCAGGUGGCAUUGUAAGUCUGCUGUUAAAGAGUUUGGCUCAACCAAAUAAGAGCAGUGGAAACUACAAAGCUAGAGUGUGGUCGGGGCAGAGGGAAUUCCUGGUGUAGCGGUGAAAUGCGUAGAUAUCAGGAAGAACACCAGUGGCGAAGGCGCUCUGCUAGGCCGAGACUGACACUGAGGGACGAAAGCUAGGGGAGCGAAUGGGAUUAGAUACCCCAGUAGUCCUAGCCGUAAACGAUGGAUACUAGGCGUAGCUCGUAUCGACCCGAGCUGUGCCGGAGCUAACGCGUUAAGUAUCCCGCCUGGGGAGUACGCAGGCAACUGUGAAACUCAAAGGAAUUGACGGGGGCCCGCACAAGCGGUGGAGUAUGUGGUUUAAUUCGAUGCAACGCGAAGAACCUUACCAAGGCUUGACAUGUCACGAAUCCUAUUGAAAGAUGGGAGUGCCUUCGGGAGCGUGAA
This 675-nucleotide ribosomal RNA is filed under the name uncultured cyanobacterium. RNAcentral describes it as "bacterial SSU rRNA". It matches the Rfam family "Bacterial small subunit ribosomal RNA", at positions 344 to 1032 of the family's 1533-position model. Lineage: Bacteria; Bacillati; Cyanobacteriota. The record is from RNAcentral.